RNA transcript from Vespula pensylvanica (western yellowjacket), 2028 nucleotides. RefSeq lists it as uncharacterized. The transcript has 3 exons. The record is from RefSeq and is a predicted model, not a curated record. NCBI's taxonomy places the organism in Eukaryota, Metazoa, Arthropoda, Insecta, Hymenoptera, Vespidae.
CUUUCUUUUUUUUUUUUAUUUCUAUAUCCAAUAACGAACGAAGCAAAAUAUUUAUUUGUGUGUUACGUUGAGAUUUUUGAAAGGAAUAAAGAUGAGAGGAGGCUUUUGGACGAAUCGAAAUUGAAAAUUCGAUAAAAUAUUGAAAAAAAGAGGACGCUCAAAAAAUGGAAGAGGAAAUUAAUUUUUUUUUUUCCAGAAUAGAGGGGUAUGAAAUGCAAUGAUCUUACGAGUUUUUUACGCUUCUAUCGUUGAGGUAUAAUCACUCGUAAACAAGAGUGCGAUUAAAGGGCAUCAAGAUUUCAUAGGGAGAACGAAGGGUUAUUGAGACGCGAUAAAAUAAAGGAAAUGGGGGUACCUGAUGUGGAACAAGCGAAGCGUCGGCUGCAAGAUAUCUUAAGGAAAGCUCAAAAGCUGGAAAUACCAACGCAAGAGGUUAUAUCUACGAGGACUGCACAGAAGCUAUUAGCAAGAACGAAGAAUGUUGUUGCGUGGACGAUCUGGAUCGGUGUUUUCAUUAUCCUCCUCAGUGGCGUCGUUUACGCACGUUGGCCAACAAGACAGGAAGUCGAGACUGUCAGGACUGUACUUAGGCGAACAUGUUCGCAUUCCGUUUCGGGGGAGUUUUCCGAGCGUGUGGCAGCUCUAUUACAGUCAUCUUCGACGCAAGACGACUGCUAGUUCUCAUAGGGAACUAUCCAAGGCCAUCAUCCCUCUUCCAAACAUGAAACCAUUCGAACGGAGGGAUAAGUUUUCGAGAGAAAACUCAACGAAACACAAACACAUCGUAUAAUCAUAAGACGUAUUAUACUAAUUAUUCUCGUCAAAUUAAUUCGCAAACAAUUAACGCGUUUAUAGGAUAUCGCGUGUAUGUAUCAUUUAAAAUGAACACUUUCGUUUCUCGUAUCGUUUCGUGCAAAAAAAACGAUAAGAGAAAGAACAAUCGUCCGAUUAUUUUCGCACGUUGACUCGCAUCAUCGAAUAUUGAUACACUCGAUUUACUAUGUCCACAGAAAUAGCAAACCGAUUUCCUCGAGUCUACGUCGAAGUUACUAGCGUUACCGCGCAUAAGCCAUAAAUGAUAACACGGAGAAUCGUUAUUAUUAGAAUUCGAUAUCAAUGAUAGCUUGCAUUGAAUCGAUAAAAAGAAAGAAAGAAAGAAAGGAAGGAAGGAAGGAAGGAAGGAAGGAAGAAAGGAAGGAAGAAAAAUGUAAAAGAAAAAAAAAUAUAUAUAUCGAAAGCCGAUUGUGGAGUUUAAGACAGGGAACAAAUUCUUCUUGUUGGAUAAACUAGAAACUCAAUUUGUCAAUUAGACCCUCUCGGACAAAACCGACAGAACUAGACGAAGAGAUUAUUUUUCAAGAAUUAUAUAUACCAACAAUCGCCAUUGCAGAAAUACUGCUUAUCCUUAUCAUUUUAAAAUAACAGUUUCGAUGACUGUUCUUCAUUUUCAUACUAGGAAUUAAGAUCGGUGCAUCUCGCAGCUUUCACAAAACCUUUGAAACAAAAAUGAUGAAAGGAAAAGAAAGGUAGAAAGAGAGAGAAAGUGUCUCGGAAAACUUGACGCUGCUCAUUAAGAAUAGAGAUAAAAAAAAACAGUACAUUUCGUAUACGAGCACAUCUCACGUACAAGAGUCCUGUAGGAAGGAAAAAGGAAACUCUGGAUGGUCGGAAGCAAGAAAAUUUGUAUAUGGGCUUGAGAGGAGAAAUGGCUCGGUGGACAAGAAGAAAAAUCGAGCGUACUUCGAGAAAAGUGUAGUUCUCCGGUAUUGCCACGGCACGUUUGCGUGACUCGACACGCGAGGUACAAGAGGCGAGAGAUGUCAACGAAAGCGCCUAAAACCGUAAGAAAAAGAAGCUUUCUUUUUUAUUCUUUUUAAGCAACACUUUCUCAAACGUUGUUUGCCUUUAUCUUAAGAAAGAGCAAUAAUAUACUUUCCUCUUUCUCUACCAUAUAUACAUAUAUACAUAUGUAACUGUACGUUUUUUAUGUGUGUGAAAUUAUUUUAAUUUUCUUUCUUUUUUCAUUCC